AUCCAUUCAUUCAUUCAUCCAUUCAUUAAUUGUUUGAGUGAAGAACAUUCAUGUAAAGACAAAGUAAACAUCCAAAUCACGGAUACACGUUUCUGAUACUCGAUCGACCAACAGCCAGCAGUGCAGAUAACUGGAAGAAGUGGGGUGUGUGCUGGGGUGUCAUUGGGAUGUCUGCUGUGACGUCACACGCGCUCGCGCGCGGCGCUGCCUCGUCCUUCUGGCUCCCUGCAGGUGGAGGCAGCACGCGGACACCUGCGCGGCUCCGCGGCAGCUGACCGCCGUCCUGCGGCUCUCCUGACCCCGAUGAAGGCGCAGCGCCUCCCGGCCGCGACCAUCCCCUCUGCCUCCCUGAAGAGGAGCCUCCUGAGGAGGAGGAGGAGGAGGAGGAGGGAGGUGGCUCCGUCUCCGCAGGAGGAGGACGACUGUGAGCUGUGCAGAUGCUCCAUGUUCUCUCCGUCUGGCAGCAGCCGGACCGUCCAGCGCAUCCUGACGGCCUGCCUGCUGUCCUCCCUGGCGUUACUCGCCUCCGUCUCCUCAGACCUCAGCUCCAGCUUCAGUUUGCUGCACAGCACGGAGGCGGCUUACGACGAGCUGACCUCCUGCAGGACAAGAGCGCUUCUGCACAUCGUCACGAGGCUUCAGAAGAUGAGACAUCUGUUUGCUGAAGACGUGACCAACGAGACGCUGGAGGAAAGUCUGAAAUCGUUGGAGCGUCUCUGUGAGGGAAUGGCGGCUCAGCGGGACGGCCACGGCCUCGCCUGCAGCCCGGAGAUGACUGGAUCCUGCCAGGAGAUGAGUGGAAGGACCGAAGAGUUCCUCAAAGACUCGUUUGACAGAGACACUUCUGGGGAACAGACAAGCUCCGCCUUCACUGAGGCCAUAGAGAGACUCCUCGCCGUCUGGGAGAGCGUGGAGCUCUCUGUAGUGAAGGUCAGACAGAACUCCGACUGGAGGUUCGUUCUGUCUGCGAGGCUUCUGGUGACUUUCUCAGAGCUCAACCACCAGCUGAUGCUUUCCCGCCACACAACCACCAGCGACGGCCUUCAUCGCAGCUGGAGCCACACCCUGAACUACCUGAGCUUCACCAGAGUCCUGACAGAACCGCUCAACCACUGCUGGUUGGAACACAUGGACUUGAGCAGAAACUCGAGCUCGCACAGGUUUUCUGUCUUUGACACCAGUCUGUGGCAGGUUUCUGGACCUGAGGUUCUGUCUGGGUCUGUCCGAGGAAUCCAGGCCCUGAGGAACGCCCAGCAGUGCCUGUUGGACCGAGCAGCGUCAGAUCUCCGGUCAACGUCUCGGUCCUUAUCUUCAGUCCUCAGCAUGAGGAUCUGCCUGCUGGCCAUCGCGUGUCUCAUCUACCCCGUGGUGAUGGUCUCCUUCAAGCAGAUGACCGACUGGAUCCAGAACUACGCCCGGACUCUGAAAGAGAAGACCGAGGACUUGAAGCACCAGAGGCAGCUGGCCGAGGACCUCCUGCACCAAAUGCUGCCCAAGUCAGUGGCCAAGCAGCUCCGCAGGCAGAAACACGUGGAAGCAGAGAGUUAUGAGAGGGUGACCAUAUUCUUCUCAGACAUUGUAGGUUUCACCUCCAUCUCUGCGUCCUGCACUCCUUUGCAAGUGGUGGAGAUGCUCAACAACCUGUACAUGUGCUUUGACACCCGCAUCGAGUCGUAUGACGUAUACAAGGUGGAGACCAUCGGGGAUGCUUACAUGGUGGUGAGCGGCCUGCCUGAGAGAAACGGAGACAAACACGCAGAUGAGAUCGCCAAGAUGGCGCUGGAUCUGGUGGCUGCCGUGAGACAGGUCUCCAUCCCACACAUGCCCAAAGAGAGGCUGCAGCUCCGGGCAGGUAUCCACACAGGGCCGUGCGUGGCCGGAAUCGUCGGUUACAAGAUGCCACGAUACUGUCUGUUUGGAGACACAGUCAACACGGCCUCCAGGAUGGAGUCCACCAGCCUGCCUCAGAAGAUCCACACCAGCUCAGAGACGUACUUGGCUCUGAUCAAAGACAAUGCUUACGAGCUGCAGCUGCGUGGAGAGAUUGAGGUUAAGGUACAGAUUCUACACGUCCACCAGGACUUUGCUUCAGACUUGCAGACACUUUCAGAAUAAACUUUGAAGAAUUUGCUGAAAAUCUUCAUUUGUUAGUGAUUGUUUGGCGUUGUGUUGAGUCACUGCUGUGCUGCUUUCUGUUCUCUGCAGACCAUAUAUGUUCCAUGUCACCGUCUGCUGUCUUCAGACUGAACACUGGUCUAUCUGUGUUUCUGUGGUGAUGUUCUAAUGAGGAGCAGAGAACAUCUUUAGGUCUCAGACAACCUCACUCCAGCAUCCUGACUCUGUAUCUACUUUCUAUUGUAUACUGUUAAACCAAAUCAGGACAAAGUUUCUGUUUAGUAAAACUUCAGAUGUUUCUGGCAGAUAGACUGCUGUCGUGUCCUUGUUCAGAAUAACACACUCCACCUUCCUGCCAGGGUAAAGGCAAAAUGAACACCUACUGGCUGGUGGGCCACAAGAACUACAGCGUGCAGAACGACAGCCUGGUGUGUCACUGGAACCCCAACAUGGCUCGGAAGAAGAAGCCGGCGGCGGGCAGCCUGGUCUCUGUGGGCAAUUCCUCCGUGACCGUGCAGAGCCUUGGUGACAACAGCGCCACCCCACUGUCACUUUCCUCCUCUGCACUGACCCCGACUCCGCGGAUGGACAGGCCGGGUCUCAGCGUUGCGGCUCAGAUGGAGACGUAUGGCGGCAGUUACGGCACGCUGGGCUCCAUGACCGGGGGGCUGCAGGGUGGGGAUGAAAGUCCUCUUCCGGCCCAACGUGGAGGCGGACUCAAACCUGACCUGCUGCCUGGUUCCAACCAGCUGAUGUGAGCAGCAGGAGAGCCUGGAGGUCGAUCGAGGAUCAACACUUCACCUGCUGUAGAUCUGACUUGUUAAUAAAACUGAUUGUUUUAAGUAGUACCUGCAUAGCUGUAGUUUAAGGUUUUUGCUUUUGUGAGUGGAUGGACUGAAGAAACCUCAGACUGACUUGUUGAAGUUCAUCUGCAUACAUUUCAGUAAUGUCACUGAAGAACUGCGCAGUAACAAGUCAGGUAGAUCUGUGGAGGACUCGGAGGACCAGAACCAGCAGUCCUGGUCUGAAGCUGUGAAAGUUUAAUCCCACGGAUCAAACAUCAUCAUCUGGAUCUCCCAGCAAAGAGUGAGGAGUGUUCACAUGAAGACUGACGUUCUGAAGCAGCAGAUCUGAGGGCAAGUUUUUAAGAUGUUUGGAGCCAACAAGUCCAGGAAGUAGACGUCCUUCUAGAUCAAAGAUAACUAAAGUCAUUAUAGAGUUUCAGUAUUUAGAGUCAACAGAACAACAGAGAACGGGAAUGAGGUGAAGAGACGUCUGCAAGCAGGUUGGAACAGGUGGAGGAAGGUUUCAGGUGUGACGAGUGACUAAAGGAGUCAUCAAGAAUGAAAGGAAAGGUGGAGUAGACUGGAGUGAGAGAAGCCAUGUUAGACUCUGGUUCAGAGAUGGAGGCAGCAGAGAUGAAGAUCCUGAGGUUCUCCAUAGCAGAGACCAGGAUGGAAUAGUGACGAUGUCGGGGAAAGCGUUCUGAGCUACCAGGAAAAAGGUCUAAGAUCAGAGAGGAGGUUCAUGGAUGUGGAGAUGAGGACACGAGGAUGAGGUGUGAGUCAGGAGGAAGCAGAGGAGAGGGUUCCAUAAAGGGUGACCACGAGAAGAAUCACCCGAAAGACGACAAAAAGCAGGUGAUGUCACAUUUACUUGCUCCAGUUCUAAUAUACAGCCAAAGGUGACACCAGCUUCAGGUUUAUGUCUUCACGUUCUGUGUUUCAGGCCAUGGUUUCUGAGGCUUGUUCUAAUCCCAAUUCUCUCUUCAAACUUUCAUUUUUUUUUUGUUAAAAGAUUGUUUCAGUUUUCUGUAUUACAUGAUUUUUUUUUCUGCCAGCACAUUCAGUCUCCUGGAUUUGAGAACACUGAGAGCCACAUUUCACUGAGCUUUAGAUAGUAAAAGUGUAAAUGGCGUAUACUCGUAGAGCGGGUUCACUGGUGGUCUGUUCUCAGGUCAUCUCCAGGUCUUCUGAGCCUUGUAAAGCACUUUUUUAUACAUUUAGAUCACAAAUACAACAUAAAGUUACAACAGCUUUUGUACUUCAUCACAAUGCAGUAAUGGUGUAAAGUAACUGUAGAUAUUCAUCCUGAGUAUUAACUUAACUGAUCACUCAUUAAUCAAGCAGCAAACCAAUGAAAAGCAGGCAAUUUAUUACAUAAAGUACAACAUAUUUUGUGAAAUAUAUCCACACAAAAAGAAGUCCGGUAAUAAUUCUUCACUUGUGUUUAUGAAAAAGAGAGUAGAGAUUAGCGAUGGGCGGUUCAAAUCCCAGCUGGGUCUUUUCUGUGUGAAGUUUUCUUCUGCGUGUCUGAGUAUUCUCUGGUGUCUCUGGGGUAAAAAUCUGCAGAAAUGUAAUGUCAACACUGUCAAAAGCCCAUGAAUAAAAUCAGUGUGAAUAUUGA
Oryzias melastigma (Indian medaka) is the source of this 4521-nucleotide RNA transcript. RefSeq lists it as uncharacterized. The transcript has 7 exons. The record is from RefSeq and is a predicted model, not a curated record. NCBI's taxonomy places the organism in Eukaryota, Metazoa, Chordata, Actinopteri, Beloniformes, Adrianichthyidae.